This is a non-coding RNA of Homo sapiens (human), 148 nucleotides long. It matches the Rfam family "Metazoan signal recognition particle RNA". From Rfam's summary of the family: The signal recognition particle (SRP) is a universally conserved ribonucleoprotein. It is involved in the co-translational targeting of proteins to membranes. Lineage: Eukaryota; Metazoa; Chordata; Mammalia; Primates; Hominidae. The record is from Rfam.
GCCGGGUGUGGUGGGGGGCGCCUGUAGUCCCAGCUACUUGGGAGGCUGAGGUGGGAGGAUCACUUGAGCCUGCGAGGUCGGGGCUGCAGUGAGCCAAGAUUGUGCCACUGUACUUCAGCCUGGGCAACAGAGUGAGACCCUAUCUCUA